ACUCAAAGGAAUUGACGGGGGCCCGCACAAGCGGUGGAGUAUGUGGCUUAAUUCGAUGCAACGCGAAGAACCUUACCUAGGCUUGACAUGCAUCUCUAAGUCGGUGAAAGCCGGCGAGUGUAGCAAUACACAAUUUGCACAGGUGCUGCAUGGCUGUCGUCAGCUCGUGUCGUGAGAUGUUGGGUUAAGUCCCGCAACGAGCGCAACCCUUGUGAACUGUUGCCGUAUGGACACAUACGGAUCUCUGUUCAGACUGCCCUGUGAAACGGGGAGGAAGGUGAGGAUGACGUCAAGUCAGCAUGGCCCUUACGCCUAGGGCUGCACACGUACUACAAUGCCCAGUACAGAAAGAGCCGAACCAGCAAUGGCUAGGAAAUCAGUAAAACUGGGCCCAGUUCGGAUUGUGGGCUGCAACUCGCCCGCAUGAAGCUGGAAUCGCUAGUAAUGGCGCAUCAGCUACGGCGCCGUGAAUACGUUCCCGGGCCUUGUACACACCGCCCGU
This 502-nucleotide ribosomal RNA is filed under the name uncultured bacterium. RNAcentral describes it as "partial 16S ribosomal RNA". It matches the Rfam family "Bacterial small subunit ribosomal RNA", at positions 899 to 1397 of the family's 1533-position model. The record is from RNAcentral.